RNAcentral lists this unclassified non-coding RNA (223 nucleotides) under Hevea brasiliensis (rubber tree). The record is from RNAcentral. Lineage: Eukaryota; Viridiplantae; Streptophyta; Magnoliopsida; Malpighiales; Euphorbiaceae.
GUAAGACUAUACUGUAGUUUUCUCAUGGAAGCAGAUAUCCACACUGUGCUAGAUUUUAUCACCCUUGUGGCAACAGUGUGGGUCAUUUAUAUGAUGAAGUUCAAGCUGAAGGCAUCCUACAUGGCAGAACUGGAUAACAUGCCCUUAUACUAUCCGAUAGUUCCCGCCGCAGUUUUAGCCUUCUUUGUCCAUCCUACUACAAGCCAUAUUCUGAUAAACCGAA